AGUGAACGCUGGCGGCGUGCUUAACACAUGCAAGUCGAACGAGAACGGAAUAUAGCUUGCUAUAUUUGUCAGCUAAGUGGCGCACGGGUGAGUAAUGUAUAGAUAACCUGCCCUUAAGAAAGGAAUAACAGUUGGAAACGACUGCUAAUGCCCUAUAUGCCUUUAAUACAUAAGUAUGCAAGGGAAACGCUUUAGUGCUUAAGGAUGGGUCUGUAUGGUAUCAGCUUGUCGGUGAGGUAAUGGCUCACCAAGGCUAUGACGCCUAACUGGUUUGAGAGGAUGAUCAGUCACACUGGAACUGAGACACGGUCCAGACUCCUACGGGAGGCAGCAGUGGGGAAUAUCGCACAAUGGACGAAAGUCUGAUGCAGCAACGCCGCGUGGAGGAUGACACAUUUCGGUGCGUAAACUCCUUUUAUAUAGGAAGAUAAUGACGGUACUAUAUGAAUAAGCACCGGCUAACUCCGUGCCAGCAGCCGCGGUAA
This 485-nucleotide ribosomal RNA is filed under the name uncultured bacterium. RNAcentral describes it as "partial 16S ribosomal RNA". It matches the Rfam family "Bacterial small subunit ribosomal RNA", at positions 29 to 523 of the family's 1533-position model. The record is from RNAcentral.